Molecule: ribosomal RNA, 301 nt
Filed under: uncultured bacterium
Lineage: Bacteria
Description: partial 16S ribosomal RNA
Rfam family: Bacterial small subunit ribosomal RNA
Source: RNAcentral
CAGUAGCCGCGGGAAUACGGAGGGUGCAAGCGUUAAUCGGAAUUACUGGGCGUAAAGCGCACGCAGGCGGUCUGUCAAGUCGGAUGUGAAAUCCCCGGGCUCAACCUGGGAACUGCAUUCGAAACUGGCAGGCUAGAGUCUUGUAGAGGGGGGUAGAAUUCCAGGUGUAGCGGUGAAAUGCGUAGAGAUCUGGAGGAAUACCGGUGGCGAAGGCGGCCCCCUGGACAAAGACUGACGCUCAGGUGCGAAAGCGUGGGGAGCAAACAGGAUUAGAUACCCGGGUAGUCCCUGUCUCUUAUAC